AAAAAAUCCUGAAAAUCCUAAACGAUUGAAAACUAAAAAGGGUACUGUUUCAUUGAGUUCUGGAGGUGAUUUCUGAAUUUUUCUCUUAAGCUGUAACAAUAUCUGUGUAGCUGAUAAUGGAAAUGAGUUAAAAUCAAGUAGGUCAAUGUCUUCUGGUUCAUUUGCUUGGAUAGAGACUAUUUUUCUAGGCUGUUUACUUCACUUUCUGGGUCCAAAACUGGUUGAAAACUGCUGAUUGUUGCUCUGUGGUUGCUGAUCCUUUAUCCUUUUCCUUUGUUCCUUCUACAUCCAAGUACGCGUCUCCCAAAACUAUGUAAUCUGAUGCUCGAAUGGAAAAUGAAACGAAGGAAUGGAAGUUUUGGGGCUUCUGAUAUUUAGUCUUGUAUAGUGUCAUGUUUUAAGCUGUUUGUUUGAGUCAUUUCCUCAUGUAAACCUUGGUUGUAGUUCGAAUAUUAAGUAUGCUUAAGUCCUUAUGCAUGUGUACUUUGUUGAGUAGAGUUAGUGAUAGUUUGUUUUGGUGUGCAUGAUUUCCUGAUUACUAAAGUUACAGGAUCUCC
RNAcentral lists this long non-coding RNA (557 nucleotides) under Nicotiana benthamiana. RNAcentral describes it as "long non-coding RNA (NBEN_LNC036897)". Lineage: Eukaryota; Viridiplantae; Streptophyta; Magnoliopsida; Solanales; Solanaceae. The record is from RNAcentral.